UUUUAGCUCUUUAAUGUUAUU
Molecule: non-coding RNA, 21 nt
Filed under: Caenorhabditis elegans
Lineage: Eukaryota; Metazoa; Nematoda; Chromadorea; Rhabditida; Rhabditidae
Source: RNAcentral